Molecule: ribosomal RNA, 440 nt
Filed under: uncultured bacterium
Lineage: Bacteria
Description: partial 16S ribosomal RNA
Rfam family: Bacterial small subunit ribosomal RNA
Source: RNAcentral
CCUACGGGUGGCAGCAGUGGGGAAUAUUGCACAAUGGGGGAAACCCUGAUGCAGCGAUGCCGCGUGGAGGAAGAAGGUUUUCGGAUUGUAAACUCCUUUUAUCAGGGACGAUAUUGAUGUUACCUGUAGAAAAAUCUCUGGCUAACUCCGUGCCAGCAGCCGCGGUACUACGUAGGGAGCGAGCGUUAUCCGGAAGUACUGGGUGUAAAGGGGGCGUAGGCGGGUCGGCAAGUCAGAUGUGAAAACUGCGGGCUCAACCUUCAGACUGCAUUUGAAACUGCUGGUCUAGAGUGAAGUCGAGGGAAGCAGAAUUACUAGUGUAGCGGUGAAAUGCGUAGAGAUUAGGAGGAACAUCGGUGGCGAAGGCGGCUUACUGGUCUUUGACUGACGCUGAGGCUCGAAAGCGUGGGGAGCAAACAGGAUUAGAUACCCCUGUAGUC